GUUGAUAGCUAGUUUUUUUUUUCGGUAAUUGUAUGCCUAUCAACUAGUUCCUUCUGCUAAUUUGUUAUUUCUAUGUAAUCUUUUGGAUAGAAAGACGAAUGAUCCUUUCAAGCUUCUAGCUGUUUCUCAGAGUGUUGAUUUUUUGUUUUUUUUUUUACUUGUGUCUCAGAGUGUAAAAAUUUAGAGGAGUAUUGGUAAUCUUUUUCCUUAUUAAUGGUUUUGAUUUUGAACUAUUUAGUGCUGUUUCCAUUGAAUGAGAUCAAAGCUGAGAUAAGCUAAGAUGGACUUUAUGAUGUCUAUAGUGUCAGUGGAAUCAUAAUGCCUUUCAACCUGACUCAAAAAUGAGAAAGUAUCCUAAUAUCCAAUAUCUUGCCCUAAUGCUGCCUUUUUCACCUCUCAUGAUAUAGAAACCCUAGUUGCUAAUUGGAGGCAUUGGGCAGUCUUUGGCCACUCGGUUGCCCACAUAUAAUCUCUUGAAGUGUUCCUCAGUGCUAUUAUGUUUAAACUAUCCCUAUUCACCUUCACUCUUUUUGAGUAUCUGAUUACAUAUUAGGAGCAUUGCUGAUAAAUUGAAAAUAAAAUGGCCCACAUAAUUUUGUAUGAGUUAUUGCUUGUGAAUUUGAUAUUAUUCCUAAGCUGGCUGUAUGGCAGCUUGUACGACUGAUCACUUAUUUCGAAACAGGC
RNAcentral lists this long non-coding RNA (684 nucleotides) under Ananas comosus (pineapple). RNAcentral describes it as "long non-coding RNA (ACOM_LNC014498)". The record is from RNAcentral. Lineage: Eukaryota; Viridiplantae; Streptophyta; Magnoliopsida; Poales; Bromeliaceae.